GCUUAGAAACUUGUACACUCAAGGCACUUCAUUUGCAACAAAUAACGUGAACUAAAUUCAAACCAGAACUGACCAUGGUUAGAAGGGAAUCAUUACUUUUUCAAAAUACUCAAUUGGUACUGAGAUCAAUUCUGUUAUCGUGCCCACCCCUACUUGUUCGAAUAGAAGUGCUUUGUCGGAUUAAAAAAGAAAAAUAAAAAGAAAAAAUAAACUUAUAGAGGACGACUUUUUCAAGAAACUCAACUAUCUCAAAACAGGCUCUAAUACUCAAAGGUCGCAUGAGGAAGCCCCUGUUAAUGCGAGCACCUUCUGUGUUGUGCUUUGAUAGGGCCAAGCGAGAUACAUGAAGAAAAAGCUUCAAAAUUUGCCUUCAUCCCAUGCUUCCACCAUUUUUUUCAUGAUUCUCAGAAAUUUUCAAUUCGGCUAGUCAUUGAUUAAUCUGCCAAAUCGGAAAAAUUGGACUAUGGAACAAGUAGAUAACCAUCCCAAGAAGGUAGGAAAAUAGCCCUAGU
Molecule: long non-coding RNA, 512 nt
Filed under: Olea europaea (common olive)
Lineage: Eukaryota; Viridiplantae; Streptophyta; Magnoliopsida; Lamiales; Oleaceae
Description: long non-coding RNA (OEUR_LNC000501)
Source: RNAcentral